RNAcentral lists this long non-coding RNA (1923 nucleotides) under Sus scrofa (pig). Its description in RNAcentral is "lncRNA (ENSSSCG00005018277.1)". The record is from RNAcentral. Lineage: Eukaryota; Metazoa; Chordata; Mammalia; Artiodactyla; Suidae.
UACCUGAUAACCUUUAUUCAGGAAGUGAGAGCAAUUCUGAAACAGUGCUUCGUGAGGCGCAUCACACAGUGCCUCUGCUUCCAGCGUGUGCAGGGAGGCUGCCGCCGCCGCCGCCCCAGUCCCGCGCUCCCCUCGGGCACCUCUGAGGAGGUCACCCUGGUGGUGGCAACGGCCGAGUCCACUUUAUUUUCACUUGGGCAGAAUGACUGACGGAGGCACUGGCGCUUCGUACAUCAGGUGGCGUGCUCUGUGCACCGUACUCUCCAAGGGCCGAUGCCAGCUUGCGUGUUAUGUACAGGCACAAGAGCAGGUGUGAGCCCCCUACCCACCUCCAGUUUGGGCAGCAAGGAGUCUGCUCCCCUUAGGACAGGAUUUCUCACCCUUCCUUCACGCUAUCGACAUCUUCCAAAGAGGAUAAAAACACAGACUAAACCAAGCAAGCAAAACUACUACAUCUUUCUUCUUGGAAUAAACACUGUUAGUAUUCAACACUUUAACAUUUACGGGGCAUCACAUAAAAACAAAGUCUACGGUUUUCACCGAAAUCAAAAAAAAAAAUGCAGCAAAUUGAUAUGACAGCAAAAUAAGGAGGGAAAUUCCAAUUCUUACAAAAGUUACAAAAAGUUUUAGAUUAUUAAGUGGAGAGCAAACGUUUGCAGCCCCAGGGAGAGCUUUUGUUGCCAACUGAAAAUCCAAAACAGCCAUCCUAACACAGGCUGUUCCAAAAGCCUGAUUCAUAAAAAAAAGACAGUUUAUUCUAUGUUUAAUAAAACAUUUAUUUAGGAUGGUAACACAAGAUAAAUCAUGCAAGAGCUCAGUAAAAACAAAACAAAAAAUAAAAACAAAAGUCAGAGUAAAAAGAAUGGCAAGUGCGGCUGCCAGUUUUUUAAAAGGUCAAUCAUUUUGCUAUCCACAGUGUGGCUAGUCAACAACAUUCGAAUCUGAGCAUGGACAUGGUUGUAGGAAUCUUCUGGAAUGGGAAAUGUUAAAGUGACAGGUAACUACUUGUGUUCCAUUCCUUAGAGGAGUCCAAGAUGCAAAAUCAGGAAUGUCUCUCGCAGCCCACGCUCAGACGGCAAGCAGCCCAGGGCCCCUGCCACCGAAUCCCCGACACCCUUGGGACAGUCUCAAACCGAUGCUUCUAGGCAGUGGAGGACAGCAGGCACCUUUGGUGACCCCUACGUGAGACUCCACCUACAUUCAGAAGCCUAAGGGGUUGGUAAUGAAAACCUGGAGACUUGCAAGCCAUCCUUAGCAGGCUGAACUGUAGUGCUGUGACGUCCAAGGAAGGCUUUCCACAUCAGGUGGAAGACCUGGGAACAACUGCAUCGAAUGGGACGUAGUGUCUCGAAUUUCAAAGAUACCUUGUCUUUUGGCAAAAAAAUAAAUAGAGUGGAAUGCGAGUCUGAGCGAUGGAGGAAUAUAUGAUCUACCAACUGUCAAGGAGUACAAUUUCAUUGCAGACACAAAGAAUCAAGAAUUUCCAAGAAUUUAAAAAAAAAAAAAAAAGUUUGCACUUAUUCCUCACGAAACCUUCACUUUUGCAACUACCCCAAUUGAAGCUACACACUGAAUUUAUUAAUACAGCAUUAAGUUUCUUUGUGUAAAAAAAUCUUUGUACAUAGUAAUAAAAAAAGAUAAGGCAAGAUGCAUUAAACAGAAACCUUCUGGUUCUUUCCCUCUGGGUUCGCACAGAGCCACGGUGACCAUCUGCAACAGAAGAGUGGCGUUUCUGAUGUUCCGUGUCAAGCAUCUUGUGCCUCUGCUGUGGUAAGAAUCCUGUCCGAGCACCUGAAGGGCAGAUGCUGGUGAUGGUCUUUGGCACUUAGGCUGGCAGACUGAGCUUCUUCCCCUUGAGGACUGGAAGGGUAAAGGGAGGGCGAGAAGACCAAAGGUUACGGAUCCCAACCAGCUCCCAGGUUC